Long non-coding RNA from Neofelis nebulosa (Clouded leopard), 554 nucleotides. RefSeq lists it as uncharacterized. The transcript is spliced from 3 exons. Lineage: Eukaryota; Metazoa; Chordata; Mammalia; Carnivora; Felidae. The record is from RefSeq and is a predicted model, not a curated record.
CUUUUCUGCUUCAGUUACAGAGGAUAAUCUCUACCAGAAAACAUGGGGUAUGAAGUUAGAUCUGUCUAGAAGCACAAGCAAAUCUGAAUCCAAGGAUGGAGGGUAGGAUCUGGGCUCCCAGACCACAGGAGAAGAUGAAGACAGCACACCGUGAGCCCUGGACCACACUCUUUGGAACGGCUGUAUCUAAGGAGAGAUUGCUCUCUGCCUCAGACACUAUCGCAAGAUAAUUAACAGAACCACUGCUGGAGACCGAUGACAGCACAAGCAGCUGAUACCUGUGGCAGGAACUCCCUGCCAUCCCAGUGCCAUCGAACUGUGAAGGAAAAGGACACGCAGUGCUGUGCAACACUAAUUUUACUAAACAAGUGCAUUAUUUAUAGCAGGCAUUACAGGGCUGUAUUUAUCUAUCAUGUAACAGAAAUAAAGCAAAUGGUUUCUAAAACACUUUCAACUCUUCUGGCAACUAUUUUAGACUCUGUGACAAAGUAUCUCUAAAUAAGAUCACCCAGGGUCCCUAUGAGCAGCUACAAUAGUGUGCAUAUUGACAUGAA